CCAAUAGCGUAUAUUAAAGUUGUUGCAGUUAAAAAGCUCGUAGUUGAAUUUCGGGAUCAGACUGUCGGUCGUGCCUCGGUACGCACUGGCAUUAUUGGUUCCUACCUUCUGAAGAACCGCGAUGUCAUUAAUUUGGUGUCGUGGGGAAUCAGGACUGUUACUUUGAAAAAAUUAGAGUGUUUAAAGCAGGCGCACGCUUGAAUACAUUAGCAUGGAAUAAUGAAAUAGGACGUUUGAUUCUAUUUUGUUGGUUUCUAGGAUCGACGUAAUGAUUAAUAGGGAUAGUUGGGGGCAUUAGUAUUCAAUUGUCAGAGGUGAAAUUCUUGGAUUUAUUGAAGACUAACUACUGCGAAAGCAUUUGCAAAGGAUGUUUUCAUUAAUCAAGAACGAAAGUUAGGGGAUCGAAGACGAUCAGAUACCGUCGUAGUCUUAACCAUAAACUAUGCCGACUAGGGAUCGGAUGAUGUUAAUUUUAUAAUGACUCAUUCAGCGCCUUACG
RNAcentral lists this ribosomal RNA (499 nucleotides) under uncultured Glomeromycotina. RNAcentral's name for it is "partial small subunit ribosomal RNA". It matches the Rfam family "Eukaryotic small subunit ribosomal RNA", at positions 591 to 1092 of the family's 1831-position model. Lineage: Eukaryota; Fungi; Glomeromycota. The record is from RNAcentral.